UUGUUGUCUUUAGGUCUCUUUAUGUAGUGUUGUGUUGUCCCUUGUCAUGGUGUGCGUUUUGUCCUAUAUAUUUUUUUUAACAGGUUCUCUUUCCAAGUUUGUUGACAAGGAACUCUCGCGAUAGUUAUUCACAAAGUCGAGGUACGUCAGCGAUAUUGGAAAAGGAGUAUCUCUGGGUACGUUCCAGAACAGAGCUAGCUUGUAUAGCGAUCCGUCUAAUUGUCUGGUUUUGUCGAUACGUAUAAUUGUUGAGGAAUAUAUAUCACCUUAUAUGCAUUAACUAUUAACGGUGGAGCAACUGGACAUGCUUAGUUGUCUGCUAGCAAGUGUGACAACAGUGAAGAAGACUCACCACGCGUUAGCUACAAUGUAGCAACGACGAACGCUUGCUACUUAUUAUUUGCUAUACACUAAUGUUAUUGCCAGCUAUAUGCAGGAUUAACUUAGACAACGAAGUUUUAUUUUUGACCAGGCCAAGAUCAGCAAGUGAUACUUGCAAACUGAGUAUCGUUAGCUAUGAAUAUCAAGCUAUUUUGCUACUUUCUUUGCUAAUUGUAUAACAAGCUAAUAGUCUGUUUUGUAGCUACAGUCACUAUUAUGUCCAAUUUGAAUGAUCGAUGGCACUCACUGUAAACAGAAGGGUUUUCAAGUACCUAUUUUCUGAAUACUUCUUUCACAUUAGCCACCACAAUGAGAUUAAAGACAUCAUUACUCAAGGAACCAAAACAUAUCCUUUUCAAUUGUGUGAAUGAUAGAAAGAUACUACAACAGUGCUUUGACUUGAUUGUUGGUCUUUUCUGUUGAAAAAAUAUGGACAGUCAGCAAUCAUGAAUUAAAAAUAUAUUAUGAAGUUGUGCCUCUAAUAACAUACUAGAGGCACAACUUCUGGUCCAGGGGGUUAGUACCCGUUGCUCUAACACCAUGGACCAAAGCUAGGGCUGCCUGAGCCAUGAUAUUCAGUACACCUUGCACCACCAGCCCUGGGUUCAAAUACUAUUUGAAAGCGUUCAAAUAUUUUUAGUGUUUGCUCUACCCUGCCCCAGGUUUGCAGUUUUGGGACUAUUCUAAUGGUUCAUGAAGCCCACUAAGCUCAAUCAAGCACUGAUAAAGUAUAGAUUUCAAAUAGUGUUUGAACCCAAAUCUGACUGGAACCUUUUUACUAAAGGCAUGCUUUUUGCAACCAAUAUGGAGAUGAAAAGAUUUUCUAUGUGCUAUUUGUGAUCACAUCUGUGUGUGGAUCUCACCUACCUCAAUACAAAGAAAGGUGAAUACAGGAUCUGUGUUCAUUCAUUCGGCUGAAAGCAACCACUGUGUUUGAGUCUACUGCGGCCUCCAACCCUGGACCCGAAGAGUUAGUCUACAGGGUGUGAAAACGUUUGUACCAGAUUAAUGCGAACAUACCUGGUUCAAGUAAUUAAGAUGAGAUAUGUUGCAGCAACCACUGAUCUAUUUCCAUAUUACCAUUGUCCUCCUUAACACCUGGACACACAAAGAGCUUGUGAGCUGUGUGGGCUGGACCACUGCAGACGAGUUGUACUCCUGCAGUGAGGACCACCAGAUCCAAAGAUAGAACCUGCUGACCAGUGAGAUCAGCCUGGUGGUGAAGGUGCAGGAGGACCUCUUCCCCAUUGACCUGCACUGGUUCCCCACGGCGGUGGGAGGCAAGAAGAGAUCUUUGUGCUCACCAGUACUGACGGCAAGUCACCAAUAAUGAUUUUCUCGUAAGAGAUUUUGAUAACCAAAAAGUGCUAAACAUGUUUAUGGCACCGUUAACAUAGAAAAUAAAUGUUGAAUUUUAAAACUGAUACUUUCUCACAUUAUUCAACAAGACAGAUUGAUAUUGAAUUAGGUAGGUGAAAGAGGAUAUGAGUCCCAUGGUACAUAACUGCAUGGUUUGUGUGAAAUGUCUCUGGUUGACAAGCUCUUUGUAUGUCCAGAUGUUAAGUGGUAUACUACGAAGCAAGUUAGAUCUACUCAGGCUUUUAUAAAGCUAGCCAUCUUCAGUUUGCUGCACAUUCCUGGUCAGGUUUCAGCCGUACUAUGAAGGUGGAUAUUGCUCAUCCGCCUGCCGCUGACUCAAACAGGUAUGUCGCACGUGGUUACUCAAACGUCAAGCCCUUUGAAACAAUGCUGAAACAUCAAUCCAUGGGCGAGUCAGUGACACAUUUAAAUUUGUGUCGAAAUCAAAAUGAAAGAAAAUAUAUCUUGAAAAUUCAGCAGGCUAUGGUGUGAAAUAGCUUUUUAGUAGUGCCAUCUUUAUUUUAUUACUUAUCGUCAAUGUCGGAUUUGGUGUUUGCUCAUUUAUUACAUUUAAAACUGAAAUAUUAUAUUUACAGUCAUGGCCAAAAGUUUUGAGAAUGACAAAAAAAUAUACAUUUUCACAAAGUCUGCUGCCUCAGUUUGUAUGAUAGCAAUUUGCAUAUACUCCAGAAUGUUAUGAAGAGUGAUCAGAUGAAUUGUAAUUAAUUGCAAAGUCCCUCUUUGCCAUGCAAAUGAACUGAAUCCCAAGAAAACAUUUCCACUGAAUUUCAGCCCUGCCACAAAAGGACCAGCUGAUAUCAUGUCAGUGAUUCUCUCGUUAACACAGGUGUGAGUGUUGACGACAAGGCUGGAGAUCACUCUGUCAUGCUGAUUGAGUUCGAAUAACAGACUGGAAGCUUCAAAAGGAGGGUGGUGCUUGGAAUCAUUGUUCUUCCUCUGUCAACCAUGGCUACCUGCAAGGAAACAUCAUUGCUUUGCACAAAAAGGGCUUCACAGGCAAGGAUAUUGCUGUCAGUAAGACUGCACCUAAAUCAACCAUUUAUCGGGUCAUCAAGAACUUCAGGGAGAGCGAGAGCGGUUCAAUUGUUGUGAAGAAAUCCAGCAAGCAUCGUCUCCUAAAGUUGAUUCAGCUGCGGGAUCGGGGCACCACCAAUACAGAGCUUGCUCAGGAAUGGCAGCAGGCAGGUGUGAGUGCAUCUGCAUGCAUAGUGAGGCGAAGACUUUUGAAGGAUGGCCUGGUGUCAAGAAGGGCAGCAAAGAAGCCACUUCUAUACAGGAAAAACAUCAGGGAUAUUCUGCAAAAGGUACAGGGAUUGGACUGCUGAGGACUGGGGUAAAGUCAUUUUCUCUGAUGAAUCCCCUUUCCGAUUGUUUGGGGCAUCCAUCCGGAAAAAAGCUUGCCAGGAGAAGACAAGGUGAGCGCUACCAUCAAUCCUGUGUCAUGCCAACAGUAAAGCAUCCUGAGACCAUUCAUGUGUGGGGUUGCUGCUCAGCCAAGGGAGUGGGCUCACUCACAAUUUUGCCUAAGAACACAGCCACGAAUAAAGAAUGGUACCAACCAUCCAGGAACAGUUUGGUGACAAAUAAUGCCUUUUCCAGCAUGAUGGAGCACCUUGCCAUAAGGCAAAAGUGAUAACUAAGUGGCUCAGAGAACAAAACAUCGAUAUUUUGGGUCCAUGGCCAGGAAACUCCCCAGACCUUAAUCCCAUUGAGAACUUGUGGUCAAUCCUCAAGAGGCGGGUGGACAAACAAAACCCCACAAAUUCUGACAAACUCCAAGCAUUGAUUAUGCAAGAAUGGGCUGCCAUCAGUCAUGUGACCCAGAAGUUAAUUGACAGCAUGCCAGGGCGGAUUGCGGAGGAAAAAGAAGGGUCAACACUGCAAAUAUUGACUCUGCAUCAACUUCAUGUAAUUGUCAAUAAAAGCCAUUGACACUUAUGAAAUGCUUGUAAUUAUACUUCAGUAUUCCAUAGUAACAUCUGACAAAAAUAUCUAAAGACACUGAAGCAGCAAACUUUGUGAAAAUUAAUAUUUGUGUCAUUCUCAAAACAUUUGGCCACGACUGUACAUAAUUAUUCAGACCCUUUACUCAGUACUUUGUUGAAGCACCUUUGGCAGCGAUUACAGCCUUGAGUCUUAUUAGGUAUGAUGCUAUAAGCUUGGCACACCUGUAUUCGGGGAGUUUUUCCCAUUCUUCUCUGCAUAUCCUCUCAAGCUCUGUCAGGUUGGAUGGGGAGCGUUGCUACACAGCUAUUUUCAGGUCUCUCCAGAGAUGUUCGAUCGGGUUCAAGUCCAGGCUCUGGCUGGGCCACUCAAGGACAUUCAGAGACUUGUACCGAAGCCACUCCUGAUUUGUCUUGGCUGUGUGCCUAGGGUCGUUUGUAGGUGAACCUUCGUCCCAGUCUGAGGUCCUGAGCACUCUGGAGCAGGUUUUCAUCAAGGGUCUCUCUGUACUUUGCUCCGUUCAUCUUUGCCUCGAUCCUGACUAGUCUCCCAGUCCCUGCCGCUGAAAAACAUCCACCCCACAGAAUGAUGCUGCUACCAACAUGCUUCACCGUAAGGAUGGUGCCAGUGACGCUUGGCAUUCAGGCCAAAGAGUUGUCUUGGUUUUAUCAGACCAGAGAAUCUUGUUUCUCAUGGUCAGAGUCUUUAGGUGCCUUUUGGCAAACUACAAGUGGGCUGUCAUGUGCCUUCUACUGAGGAGCAGGUUUCGUCUGGCCACUCUACCAUAAAUGCCUGAUUGGUGGAGUGCUGCAGAGAUGGUUGACCUUCUGGAAGGUUCUCCCAUCUCCACAGAGGAACUAAGAGCUCUGUCAGAGUGACCAUCGGCUUCUUGGUCACCUCACUCACAAGGCCCUUCUCCCCCGAUUGCUCAGUUUGGCAUGGCGGCCAGCUCUAGGAAGAGUCCCCAGAUCUGUGCCUCUACACAAACAUGUCUCGGAUCUCUACGGACAAUUCCUUUGACCUCAUUGCUCGGUUUUUGCUCUGACAUGCACUGUCAACUGUGCGAUAUUAUAUAGACAGGUGUGUGCCUUUCCAAAUCAUAUCCAAUCAAUUGAAUUUACCACAGGUGGACUAAAUCAAGUUGUAGAAACAUCUCAAGGAUGAUCACUGGAAACAGGAUGCACCUGAGCUCAAUUUCGAGACUCAUAGCAAAGGGUCUGAAUACAUAUGUAUGUAAGGUAUUUCUGUUUUUUGGUUUUAAUAAAUUUGCAAACAUUUCUAAAAACUUGUUUUCGCUUUGUCAUUAUUGGGUAUUGUGUAUAGAUUGAUGAGGAAGUGGUUUUAUUUAAUCUAUUUUAGAAUAAGGCUGUAACGUAACAAAACGUGGGAAAAGUAAAGGGGUCUGAAUACUUUCUGAAGGCCCUGUAUUUAUAAUCCAUAGAAGGGUUUGGAAGUCUCUAACCCUGGUAAUUUGACUGUUAAACUCAUGCGUACACUAACAAUGGCUGCCUGUCUUGACUUGAAUGGGAACUUCCAUCUAUGCAUUACACUGUAUGUCUAUGGUUGGUUGCGGCUGUCGGUUUGCCUUCUUUCAAUCACGGGAAAAAUGUACAGUUUGGAAAGCAAAUGCUGUCUACUAAAUGUGUAAUGCGAUAUAUAUUUUAACAUUACUUUUUUACACGCGAAAAAACAUUUGAAUAAAAUAUUUGAUCUGCCGUCUUCCUCAGAUGAAGAGGAUGAUGACACAAUCUUUGCGAGAGGGAUGAUAUCUGAUUUCAUUGGUCCUCAACUCAUGGCUCAGACACUUCAUUCAGGAUAAAUGGAGUUAGCCCUGAGUUAGCCUGCCCGGAUCAGGUAAGCUCCACCUGGCCUCUUAAGAUGGGCCGUAUUGAGAAGAGUGCGGAGGCCCACAAAAGGAGCUGUGUUAGCCAGGAGAUGGAACUACGACGGGACCGCUCUCAUCACAGCUGGAGAGGACGGGCACGUCAAGAUCUGGUCUAAGAGUGGCAUGCUGAGGUCCACCUUGGUCCACCUUAUCCUUUCAAACACUCAGCUCAGAAAUGACUGUAUUUCAAAACAAAUUUGGAGUGCAGCAGACUCGUAGUGCAUAGCCACACUUUGUUUUGAAACAAAUGUAGCCACCAAUAUUGUCCCUUUUAACAAUUUCCUGUUUUGUCAGAAUGGGGCCCUGUAGUUUUUGUGGUGCAGUUGCUCCACAGUGUAGAGCCAGCAUUGCACUCUCUCUGUGUGAAGAGGUGUAUGUGAGCGUGUGUGUGUGUAUGCUAAUCUUCCAGCCCGGUGUUGUCAGCAUGCUUCGGUUCAGCUGGCGCCUAGUCGAACUGAACAACUGUGCUCGCAUACUCCCUUAAAAUACCUUUGCGGCAAUAGUUCUGUUUGUUCUUCUUCAUAUGCCAUAGCCAGUAUACGCUUCCUCAAAAUAGUCAGAAUUAAUCCCACAAUAACUCAAGAAAUCUGUAAUUAUUUUGACAUAUAUUCCAAGGACAUUUUAGUCGCGCAAUUUUACAUCUAACUAAGAUGUUUGGUUCAGUAUUUCUCAAGUGAAAAAAUUUGCAUGAAAACAACAAAUACUUCAUUGAAGAAUCCCUACUGUUGACCCAAUCAACAGGGCAUAGACUUCGUCUACUGACUUCGGUUUGCCUCAAGGGAAAAAAAUGUUGUGUGCGCGAACAGUCGACAAAACCCUCGCUGAAGACCAAAUGGAACUUAAACAUCCCAAAAUGUCAUCAUAAUAUAUGCACAAACUGUUUUGGAUAGGAAGCAUGUUGGACGCCUGCUGGUGCUGUGUGGUUAACACUAACAUGUCCCUGUCUGUAAAGUCACCUACAGGUGGUUCUGUUACUCUCUAACAGAACCAGUCCAAGUACUGAAUGUGCUUUUACACACAACAUGUAUAUUGAUAUUGGCUUUCACUGAAUUAAUCACUGUACUUAUUGAAUGAAUCACUGAACUAAUUUUGAAAUCUCAAUUUGGAACUAGGAUGUUAUUUCACUAUCCAUGUGUGAUUGAGGAUGCACGCUAUUAAUCAUAGGGGUUGAGUGUGUCACCCUGGUGCUUUCUCAUGCCGUCGGUAGUUCUCUCACACUCUGGUGUGCCCAGUCAGAGGACCUGCUGCGGCUGUGGCUUGGGCCGGGCCUGGGACAGUUGUAAUGAGGUCAAACCCAUGAACACAGCCACGUGAGUUACAGAGAGAUAGAUUGCACUGGUGGACAUUUUGUAAACAUAAGGCAACACAGCCUCCAAUUAUAUUCUCACACACAGACCGCAGUGUUCAUUAAGGCCUCUUCUGCUUUUGAGGGCACCUCACUGGAUGAGAGAGAGAGAGAGAGAGAAUGGGAUCUGAUGAAAAGGGAAAAGGCUUGUCAAAUAGGGGUACAAUACUGUUCAUGUGUAUUCAGGGAGCCCUUCCCUCUGUGCCAUGACACAAACAUUUCUCUGCUUAAACUGAGCUUUUGGUUGACCCCAAGUGGAGCAUGAUGCGCUGCCAUUAGACAGCUCUGAGAACAGAGGUUAUAUAGUAAUCUAGGUAAUGUCGUCACCGUACAUAUAGAUAGACUAAUACAGUUUAAAGCACUCCAGGAUAUACCUCAUGUAUACCUCAAUUUUUUGACUUUCAAAUUUACUUCCACAGUCGGGAUUUGUGUGUGUGCGUACAGUGUGUGUCUGUGUGUAUUUGAAACUGCUGUAAACUAGGCCGGUGCGAUGAUCUGAAAGAUGGCCUUUGUGUUAACAGUGAUUUACUCCAGCCAGAUGAUUUAAGAUGACAAUCUGGCAGAGGGAGGUGUGUGUGUGUGUGUGUGUGUGUGUGUGUGUGUGUGUGUGUGUGUGUGUGUGUGUGUGUGUGUGUGUGUGUGUGUGUGUGUGUGUGUGUGUGUGGACUAUUAGGGUGUAAUGCUGCUGGAUACAGUUGAAAUUGCAGCCAAUCCUCCAGUUCCAUUUUUAUUAAAAGCACCAUAAAGAUUUAAAGGUUUA
Molecule: long non-coding RNA, 7695 nt
Organism: Oncorhynchus nerka (sockeye salmon)
Lineage: Eukaryota; Metazoa; Chordata; Actinopteri; Salmoniformes; Salmonidae
Exons: 3
Source: RefSeq, a predicted model, not a curated record